This 161-nucleotide ribosomal RNA is filed under the name uncultured bacterium. RNAcentral's name for it is "partial 16S ribosomal RNA". It matches the Rfam family "Bacterial small subunit ribosomal RNA", at positions 355 to 509 of the family's 1533-position model. The record is from RNAcentral.
UAGGGAAUUUUCGCAAUGGGGGCAACCCUGAACGAGCAAUGCCGCGUGAGCGAAGAAGGUCUUCGGAUUGUAAAGCUCUGUUGCCGGGGAAAAAGGAAGGAAAGAGGAAAUGCUUUUCUUUGGAUGGUACCCGGCCAGAAAGUCACGGCUAACUACGUGCC